RNAcentral lists this ribosomal RNA (162 nucleotides) under uncultured bacterium. Its description in RNAcentral is "partial 16S rRNA". It matches the Rfam family "Bacterial small subunit ribosomal RNA", at positions 358 to 512 of the family's 1533-position model. The record is from RNAcentral.
GGAAUCUUCCACAAUGGACGAAAGUCUGAUGGAGCAACGCCGCGUGAGUGAAGAAGGGUUUCGGCUCGUAAAACUCUGUUGUUAAAGAAGAACAUAUCUGAGAGUAACUGUUCAGGUAUUGACGGUAUUUAACCAGAAAGCCACGGCUAACUACGUGCCUAG